AGUGAACGCUGGCGGUAGGCCUAACACAUGCAAGUCGAACGGCAGCACAGUAAGAGCUUGCUCUUACGGGUGGCGAGUGGCGGACGGGUGAGGAAUACAUCGGAAUCUACUUUUUCGUGGGGGAUAACGUAGGGAAACUUACGCUAAUACCGCAUACGACCUACGGGUGAAAGCAGGGGAUCUUCGGACCUUGCGCGAUUGAAUGAGCCGAUGUCGGAUUAGCUAGUUGGCGGGGUAAAGGCCCACCAAGGCGACGAUCCGUAGCUGGUCUGAGAGGAUGAUCAGCCACACUGGAACUGAGACACGGUCCAGACUCCUACGGGAGGAAGCAGUGGGGAAUAUUGGACAAUGGGCGAAAGCCUGCUCCAGCCAUACCGCGUGGGUGAAGAAGGCCUUCGGGUGGUAAAGCCCUUUUGUUGGGAAAGAAAAGCAGCAGGUUAAUACCCCGCUGUUCUGACGGUACCCAAAGAAUAAGCACCGGCUAACUUCGUG
Molecule: ribosomal RNA, 492 nt
Filed under: uncultured bacterium
Lineage: Bacteria
Description: partial 16S ribosomal RNA
Rfam family: Bacterial small subunit ribosomal RNA
Source: RNAcentral